UACGGAGGGCGCAAGCGUUGCUCGGAAUUACUGGGCGUAAAGCGCGUGUAGGCGGUCGCGUGUGUCUGGCGUGAAAGCCCCGGGCUCAACGCGGGAAGUGCGUUGGAAACUGCGAGACUAGAGUUCCGGAGAGGAAGGUGGAAUUCCAGGUGUAGCGGUGAAAUGCGUAGAUAUCGGGAAGAACACCGGUGGCGAAGGCGGCCUGCUGGACGGUGACUGACGCUGAGACGCGAAAGCGUGGGGAGCAAACAGG
RNAcentral lists this ribosomal RNA (253 nucleotides) under uncultured bacterium. RNAcentral's name for it is "partial 16S ribosomal RNA". It matches the Rfam family "Bacterial small subunit ribosomal RNA", at positions 524 to 776 of the family's 1533-position model. The record is from RNAcentral.